GUCGAGCGGACAGAAGGGAGCUUGCUCCCGGAUGUUAGCGGCGGACGGGUGAGUAACACGUGGGUAACCUGCCUGUAAGACUGGGAUAACUCCGGGAAACCGGAGCUAAUACCGGAUAGUUCCUUGAACCGCAUGGUUCAAGGAUGAAAGACGGUUUCGGCUGUCACUUACAGAUGGACCCGCGGCGCAUUAGCUAGUUGGUGAGGUAACGGCUCACCAAGGCGACGAUGCGUAGCCGACCUGAGAGGGUGAUCGGCCACACUGGGACUGAGACACGGCCCAGACUCCUACGGGAGGCAGCAGUAGGGAAUCUUCCGCAAUGGACGAAAGUCUGACGGAGCAACGCCGCGUGAGUGAUGAAGGUUUUCGGAUCGUAAAGCUCUGUUGUUAGGGAAGAACAAGUGCAAGAGUAACUGCUUGCACCUUGACGGUACCUAACCAGAAAGCCACGGCUAACUACGUGCCAGCAGCCGCGGUAAUACGUAGGUGGCAAGCGUUGUCCGGAAUUAUUGGGCGUAAAGGGCUCGCAGGCGGUUUCUUAAGUCUGAUGUGAAAGCCCCCGGCUCAACCGGGGAGGGUCAUUGGAAACUGGGAAACUUGAGUGCAGAAGAGGAGAGUGGAAUUCCACGUGUAGCGGUGAAAUGCGUAGAGAUGUGGAGGAACACC
This 666-nucleotide ribosomal RNA is filed under the name Bacillus altitudinis. Its description in RNAcentral is "bacterial SSU rRNA". It matches the Rfam family "Bacterial small subunit ribosomal RNA", at positions 61 to 710 of the family's 1533-position model. The record is from RNAcentral. Lineage: Bacteria; Bacillati; Bacillota; Bacilli; Caryophanales; Bacillaceae.